RNAcentral lists this ribosomal RNA (1545 nucleotides) under Salmonella enterica. RNAcentral describes it as "partial 23S ribosomal RNA". It matches the Rfam family "Bacterial large subunit ribosomal RNA", at positions 1272 to 2800 of the family's 2925-position model. The record is from RNAcentral. Lineage: Bacteria; Pseudomonadati; Pseudomonadota; Gammaproteobacteria; Enterobacterales; Enterobacteriaceae.
GCUGGAGGUAUCAGAAGUGCGAAUGCUGACAUAAGUAACGAUAAAGCGGGUGAAAAGCCCGCUCGCCGGAAGACCAAGGGUUCCUGUCCAACGUUAAUCGGGGCAGGGUGAGUCGACCCCUAAGGCGAGGCCGAAAGGCGUAGUCGAUGGGAAACGGGUUAAUAUUCCCGUACUUGGUGUUACUGCGAAGGGGGGACGGAGAAGGCUAUGUUGGCCGGGCGACGGUUGUCCCGGUUUAAGCGUGUAGGUGUGUGUUCCAGGUAAAUCCGGUUCACUUUAACACUGAGGCGUGACGACGAGGCACUACGGUGCUGAAGCAACAAAUGCCCUGCUUCCAGGAAAAGCCUCUAAGCAUCAGGUAACAUCAAAUCGUACCCCAAACCGACACAGGUGGUCAGGUAGAGAAUACCAAGGCGCUUGAGAGAACUCGGGUGAAGGAACUAGGCAAAAUGGUGCCGUAACUUCGGGAGAAGGCACGCUGACAUGUAGGUGAAGUGAUUUACUCAUGGAGCUGAAGUCAGUCGAAGAUACCAGCUGGCUGCAACUGUUUAUUAAAAACACAGCACUGUGCAAACACGAAAGUGGACGUAUACGGUGUGACGCCUGCCCGGUGCCGGAAGGUUAAUUGAUGGGGUCAGCGCAAGCGAAGCUCCUGAUCGAAGCCCCGGUAAACGGCGGCCGUAACUAUAACGGUCCUAAGGUAGCGAAAUUCCUUGUCGGGUAAGUUCCGACCUGCACGAAUGGCGUAAUGAUGGCCAGGCUGUCUCCACCCGAGACUCAGUGAAAUUGAACUCGCUGUGAAGAUGCAGUGUACCCGCGGCAAGACGGAAAGACCCCGUGAACCUUUACUAUAGCUUGACACUGAACAUUGAGCCUUGAUGUGUAGGAUAGGUGGGAGGCUUUGAAGUGUGGACGCCAGUCUGCAUGGAGCCGACCUUGAAAUACCACCCUUUAAUGUUUGAUGUUCUAACGUGGACCCGUGAUCCGGGUUGCGGACAGUGUCUGGUGGGUAGUUUGACUGGGGCGGUCUCCUCCUAAAGAGUAACGGAGGAGCACGAAGGUUGGCUAAUCCUGGUCGGACAUCAGGAGGUUAGUGCAAUGGCAUAAGCCAGCUUGACUGCGAGCGUGACGGCGCGAGCAGGUGCGAAAGCAGGUCAUAGUGAUCCGGUGGUUCUGAAUGGAAGGGCCAUCGCUCAACGGAUAAAAGGUACUCCGGGGAUAACAGGCUGAUACCGCCCAAGAGUUCAUAUCGACGGCGGUGUUUGGCACCUCGAUGUCGGCUCAUCACAUCCUGGGGCUGAAGUAGGUCCCAAGGGUAUGGCUGUUCGCCAUUUAAAGUGGUACGCGAGCUGGGUUUAGAACGUCGUGAGACAGUUCGGUCCCUAUCUGCCGUGGGCGCUGGAGAACUGAGGGGGGCUGCUCCUAGUACGAGAGGACCGGAGUGGACGCAUCACUGGUGUUCGGGUUGUCAUGCCAAUGGCACUGCCCGGUAGCUAAAUGCGGAAGAGAUAAGUGCUGAAAGCAUCUAAGCACGAAACUUGCCCC